AAUAGAUACCCCGGUAGUCCACGCCGUAAACGAUGAGUGCUAAGUGUUAGAGGGUUUCCGCCCUUUAGUGCUGCAGCUAACGCAUUAAGCACUCCGCCUGGGGAGUACGGCCGCAAGGCUGAAACUCAAAGGAAUUGACGGGGGGCCCGCACAAGCGGUGGAGCAUGUGGUUUAAUUCGAAGCAGCGCGAAGAACCUUACCAGGUCUUGACAUCCUCUGACAACCCUAGAGAUAGGGCUUUCCCCUUCGGGGGACAGAGUGACAGGUGGUGCAUGGUUGUCGUCAGCUCGUGUCGUGAGAUGUUGGGUUAAGUCCCGCAACGAGCGCAACCCUUGAUCUUAGUUGCCAGCAUUCAGUUGGGCACUCUAAGGUGACUGCCGGUGACAAACCGGAGGAAGGUGGGGAUGACGUCAAAUCAUCAUGCCCCUUAUGACCGUGGGCUACACACGUGCUACAAUGGAUGGUACAAAGGGCUGCAAACCUGCGAAGGUAAGCGAAUCCCAUAAAGCCAUUCUCAGUUCGGAUUGC
Molecule: ribosomal RNA, 528 nt
Filed under: uncultured bacterium
Lineage: Bacteria
Description: bacterial SSU rRNA
Rfam family: Bacterial small subunit ribosomal RNA
Source: RNAcentral